RNAcentral lists this ribosomal RNA (489 nucleotides) under uncultured bacterium. Its description in RNAcentral is "bacterial SSU rRNA". It matches the Rfam family "Bacterial small subunit ribosomal RNA", at positions 29 to 507 of the family's 1533-position model. The record is from RNAcentral.
AUGAACGCUAGCUACAGGCUUAACACAUGCAAGUCGAGGGGCAGCGGGAUUGAAGCUUGCUUCAAUUGCCGGCGACCGGCGCACGGGUGAGUAACGCGUAUCCAACCUUCCGUACACUCAGGGAUAGCCUUUCGAAAGAAAGAUUAAUACCUGAUGGUAUGAUGAGAUCGCAUGGUAUCAUCAUUAAAGAUUUAUCGGUGAUGGAUGGGGAUGCGUCUGAUUAGCCUGUUGGCGGGGUAACGGCCCACCAAGGCGACGAUCAGUAGGGGUUCUGAGAGGAAGGUCCCCCACAUUGGAACUGAGACACGGUCCAAACUCCUACGGGAGGCAGCAGUGAGGAAUAUUGGUCAAUGGACGAGAGUCUGAACCAGCCAAGUAGCGUGCAGGAUGACGGCCCUAUGGGUUGUAAACUGCUUUUAUAAGGGAAUAAAGUGAGUCUCGUGAGGCUUUUUGCAUGUACCUUAUGAAUAAGGACCGGCUAAUUCCGUG